Molecule: long non-coding RNA, 352 nt
Filed under: Mustela putorius furo (domestic ferret)
Lineage: Eukaryota; Metazoa; Chordata; Mammalia; Carnivora; Mustelidae
Description: lncRNA (ENSMPUG00000027192.1)
Source: RNAcentral
UUUAUUCAUUCAUUCAUUCAUUUAUUCAGCUCCAUGCCCCAUGUGCAGUCCAAACCUGAGAUCAAGACAUGAGCUAUUAUCAAGAGUUAUGCCUAACCAACUGAGCCACCCAGAAAGAAUAGAGCACUCCACAUCACAAAACAGAACUGGACUACCUCACACUGAGAGAAUGUUUAUAACUGGCACCAUCGAAUCUGCAUGUAAUCAAGAAAUGUUGCAGACCACUGAACUCCCUUCAUUCAUUACCUACCCUAAAUUCCAAGCAAACAAACAAACAAAAGUAACCUUGGGCCAGGCUAAAAAUGUUGGAGUUGGCUUUUGAACAAGAGUCCGCUUUCUCCCCACAUUGCCA